Molecule: ribosomal RNA, 585 nt
Filed under: uncultured Collimonas sp.
Lineage: Bacteria; Pseudomonadati; Pseudomonadota; Betaproteobacteria; Burkholderiales; Oxalobacteraceae
Description: bacterial SSU rRNA
Rfam family: Bacterial small subunit ribosomal RNA
Source: RNAcentral
ACGGGUGAGUAAUAUAUCGGAACGUACCUUUGAGUGGGGGAUAACUAGUCGAAAGAUUAGCUAAUACCGCAUACGAUCUACGGAUGAAAGUGGGGGCUCGCAAGACCUCAUGCUCAUAGAGCGGCCGAUAUCUGAUUAGCUAGUUGGUGAGGUAAAGGCUCACCAAGGCAUCGAUCAGUAGCUGGUCUGAGAGGACGACCAGCCACACUGGGACUGAGACACGGCCCAGACUCCUACGGGAGGCAGCAGUGGGGAAUUUUGGACAAUGGGGGCAACCCUGAUCCAGCAAUGCCGCGUGAGUGAAGAAGGCCUUCGGGUUGUAAAGCUCUUUUGUCAGGGAAGAAACGGGAUGUUCUAAUACAGCGUCCUAAUGACGGUACCUGAAGAAUAAGCACCGGCUAACUACGUGCCAGCAGCCGCGGUAAUACGUAGGGUGCAAGCGUUAAUCGGAAUUACUGGGCGUAAAGCGUGCGCAGGCGGUUGUGUAAGACAGGUGUGAAAUCCCCGGGCUUAACCUGGGAAUGGCAUUUGUGACUGCACGGCUAGAGUGUGUCAGAGGGGGGUAGAAUUCCACGUGUAGCAGUG